Molecule: long non-coding RNA, 1085 nt
Filed under: Homo sapiens (human)
Lineage: Eukaryota; Metazoa; Chordata; Mammalia; Primates; Hominidae
Description: HSALNT0150960
Source: RNAcentral
GAAAGCAGUAAAUCUAACUGACAGGAGAUAAACUUCUUGGGCACCAAGGCAAUGAAAAUGGUGUUGAUCUAUGUGUUUGCAGAUGUGGCUCCAGGGUAUAAUCUGUCCAGCUGCUCAAUAUCAGGACAGCCACAUGGGCACCACCUCAGGGAAGAUAAAUACAAAACCUUUUAGUCAAGGAGAUAAACACAAUUGCUGCUGCUAGUUCUUACAUGGAAAACCUGCUGAUUGUCACUGUUGCAGGGAGGAAGAGCUACUGAAAUAUUCCGAGGCAUGGAGAGUAAAAGGCCUGGCCACAAAUCCAAGGACUGACGGAGGUAUAGAGAGUAAUAAUCUUGGCUUGCACCAGUUCUUUCAAGAGCCCUAAAACUGGACUAUAAAACCAUGGAAGACACUGAUGUGAAGAGACAGAUGGCUACAAUAAUAGCGUCAUUAUUCUAUAGCUUUGAGUGAAGUGGAUACAGCAUAUGUUCCAUAAAUUUAAAAGAAAAAGAAAAGCUCACCUCUAUUCAUAAUGAAAAAGAAACAUUGUAACAGCAGAGACUCUGGGUGCCAUAGAAAGAAAAUAUGUCAUGUCAGAUAUGCAUAUCUAAGUGAACAUAUUUUAUCUCUUAAAACUUAAAGGGAGAACAGCUGUAGCUAUUAUUAUUUUUCAACAAGUGAUUAGUUUGAUAUACUGAUACUAUAUUUGAAUUUGCCAAUAACUUAAUCAGAAAAUAGAAUGUGCAGUUUUAAUAAGGAUAUUGUUUAAAUCAGGCCCAUCUGCACUGUGUCUCCUAGGCCUCCUCUCCAAAAACAGUCCUGGAUCAGAAAAGUGAAUAAUUUCAAACAAUUAUAAUGAUUACAAAGGAACUGUUACCACCUGCUGCUGACUCUUGGCAGCCAUCAGUCAAUGAAGGAUUUAAUUAGAAUAUUUAUCAACAAUGGCCAAAAUGCCUUUUGAUUUGUUCCUGAUUUCUCCAAGCUGGAAGAGUAAACUCUUUGCAAACUUCAAUUAAAAGACAUUGGAAAUUCUGGGGGUCUUACCCAACCGGCUUUAUUCAAUUCUCUAAUUUGGUUUUCUUGGUUUAUGACAAGUAUGUGUG